This 464-nucleotide ribosomal RNA is filed under the name Streptococcus sp. oral taxon C65. Its description in RNAcentral is "bacterial SSU rRNA". It matches the Rfam family "Bacterial small subunit ribosomal RNA", at positions 28 to 474 of the family's 1533-position model. The record is from RNAcentral. Lineage: Bacteria; Bacillati; Bacillota; Bacilli; Lactobacillales; Streptococcaceae.
GACGAACGCUGGCGGCGUGCCUAAUACAUGCAAGUAGAACGCUGAAGAGAGGAGCUUGCUCUUCUUGGAUGAGUUGCGAACGGGUGAGUAACGCGUAGGUAACCUGCCUUGUAGCGGGGGAUAACUAUUGGAAACGAUAGCUAAUACCGCAUAACAAUGAAUGACACAUGUCAUUUAUUUGAAAGGGGCAAUUGCUCCACUACAAGAUGGACCUGCGUUGUAUUAGCUAGUAGGUGAGGUAACGGCUCACCUAGGCGACGAUACAUAGCCGACCUGAGAGGGUGAUCGGCCACACUGGGACUGAGACACGGCCCAGACUCCUACGGGAGGCAGCAGUAGGGAAUCUUCGGCAAUGGGGGCAACCCUGACCGAGCAACGCCGCAUGAGUGAAGAAGGUUUUCGGAUCGUAAAGCUCUGUUGUAAGUCAAGAACGAGUGUGAGAGUGGAAAGUUCACACUGUGACG